Molecule: non-coding RNA, 22 nt
Filed under: Arabidopsis thaliana (thale cress)
Lineage: Eukaryota; Viridiplantae; Streptophyta; Magnoliopsida; Brassicales; Brassicaceae
Also listed under: 1 other name
Source: RNAcentral
UACGUCCCUGCCCUUUGUACAC